GAAACAUCUCAGUACCCACAGGAAGAGAAAACAACAUGUGAUUCCGUGAGUAGUGGCGAGCGAAAGCGGAUGAGGCUAAACCUGCAUCGUGUGAGACCUGGUAGGGGUUGCGGUGUGGGGGUUGUGGGUGUGUUUCGGACUCAGCUACCACUGGGUCGGGGAGUGAGAAAGUCGUGGUGUAGCCGAAGGGCCUGGGAUGGUCCGGCGUAGUGGGUGAGACCCCCGUAGGCGAAACAUUGCGGCCUCCUUGGAGACGCUACCCGAGUAGCACGGGGCUCGUGGAAUCUCGUGUGAAUCUGCCAGGACCACCUGGUAAGCCUAAAUACUUCCUGAU
This 334-nucleotide ribosomal RNA is filed under the name Escherichia coli. RNAcentral's name for it is "partial 23S ribosomal RNA". It matches the Rfam family "Bacterial large subunit ribosomal RNA", at positions 195 to 481 of the family's 2925-position model. Lineage: Bacteria; Pseudomonadati; Pseudomonadota; Gammaproteobacteria; Enterobacterales; Enterobacteriaceae. The record is from RNAcentral.